AGCGAACGCUGGCGGCAGGCCUAACACAUGCAAGUCGAACGAACUCUUCGGAGUUAGUGGCGGACGGGUGAGUAACACGUGGGAACGUGCCUUUAGGUUCGGAAUAACUCAGGGAAACUUGUGCUAAUACCGAAUGUGCCCUUCGGGGGAAAGAUUUAUCGCCUUUAGAGCGGCCCGCGUCUGAUUAGCUAGUUGGUGAGGUAAAGGCUCACCAAGGCGACGAUCAGUAGCUGGUCUGAGAGGAUGAUCAGCCACAUUGGGACUGAGACACGGCCCAAACUCCUACGGGAGGCAGCAGUGGGGAAUCUUGCGCAAUGGGCGAAAGCCUGACGCAGCCAUGCCGCGUGAAUGAUGAAGGUCUUAGGAUUGUAAAAUUCUUUCACCGGGGACGAUAAUGACGGUACCCGGAGAAGAAGCCCCGGCUACUUCGUG
This 432-nucleotide ribosomal RNA is filed under the name uncultured bacterium. RNAcentral's name for it is "partial 16S ribosomal RNA". It matches the Rfam family "Bacterial small subunit ribosomal RNA", at positions 29 to 507 of the family's 1533-position model. The record is from RNAcentral.